GCGCUUGUAGCUCAGUGGAUAGAGCAACCCUCUCCUAAAGGGUAGGUCGGAGGUUCGAAUCCUCUCAGGCGCA
This 73-nucleotide transfer RNA is filed under the name Isoptericola variabilis. RNAcentral describes it as "tRNA-Arg". It matches the Rfam family "tRNA". From Rfam's summary of the family: Transfer RNA (tRNA) molecules are approximately 80 nucleotides in length. Their secondary structure includes four short double-helical elements and three loops (D, anti-codon, and T loops). Lineage: Bacteria; Bacillati; Actinomycetota; Actinomycetes; Micrococcales; Promicromonosporaceae. The record is from RNAcentral. RNAcentral also lists the same sequence under 11 other names.